Molecule: ribosomal RNA, 391 nt
Filed under: uncultured bacterium
Lineage: Bacteria
Description: partial 16S ribosomal RNA
Rfam family: Bacterial small subunit ribosomal RNA
Source: RNAcentral
AUACGGAGGAUCCGAGCGUUAUCCGGAUUUAUUGGGUUUAAAGGGUGCGCAGGCGGCCAUUUAAGUCAGCGGUUAAAUCGUGGGGCUCAACCCCAUUCUGCCGUUGAUACUGGUGGCUUGAUUGCGGUCGAGGUUGGCGGAAUUCGUUGUGUAGCGGUGAAAUGCAUAGAUAUGACGAAGAACACCGAUUGCGUAGGCAGCUGACCAGACCGCAAAUGACGCUCAUGCACGAAAGUGCGGGGAUCGAACAGGAUUAGAUACCCUGGUAGUCCGCACAGUAAACGAUGAAUACUUGUUUUCGGCGAUAUAAUGUCGGAGGCAAAGCGAAAGCGAUAAGUAUUCCACCUGGGGAGUACGCCGGCAACGGUGAAACUCAAAUGAAUUGACGGGG